This 1362-nucleotide long non-coding RNA is filed under the name Triticum aestivum (bread wheat). Its description in RNAcentral is "long non-coding RNA (TAES_LNC010426)". Lineage: Eukaryota; Viridiplantae; Streptophyta; Magnoliopsida; Poales; Poaceae. The record is from RNAcentral.
UCCCCGAGUUUCUUGGUGAUGAUAAAGAGCUUCACUGGCGUCAUUUGCUUCGCCUACGUGCGUCGAAUCGAGAAGGGCGGCCUCGUACACUCGUCACAGCCGUCAUCUUCUCCGCCAUGGUCGUCGACCCCUGUCGUCGAUUCGCGCAUCUCCAGUUCAUCCCCGACCACCUCGAGCUCGCCUAAAGAACCAUAGUGAGUUGCGCCUUCGAUUCCCCCUUACCCUCGUUCGAUUCCAUCGCCGUUGCUGCCGCGGUCCGAUCCCACGCGAGCUCGUGCUCACCCAGCCGUCCGCGCCUGUCAGGAGCCGCGCCUGCCUUCGCCCGGCCGCGCCGGCGCCGUCCCCUGCACUCCCUGCCUCCCACCGGCCACCCCUGCCCUGCGCCCGCCUGCAACUGCCGUCACCGCGGCGCCAUCAUCGCGCCUCCCCUGGUGCCCCGACCUCCUGUGCCUGUGUUGUCCGCUGCUACUGCUGAUUGCUGCUGCAGCUGCCCUGCUACUACUUGUCGCAUGCCGCCGCCGCUGCUGCAUUGCUAUCGCGCCCAGCCACCCAUGCCCUGCACGCAGCCGCUCCUGGCUGGCCAUGGUCAUCGUGGCCUUUGAGCCAUGCGUGUUGGCCCUGGUGUGGCCAGCCGAAGAGCAUGGCUGGAGCCUCUGCCAAAUGCGUCGGCCACUAAGACUAGGAUUAGUAUUAUUUAACUAACGUGCUAACCUUAGAUGCUACAUAGAGUAUGACUUAGGGGCCCUACAACUAAUUAGACUAAAUAAACAAUCUGUUUAGCAAACGACUCUAUGAGAGUUGGGCUCCACCACCCAUUUUGACUAGUCAUCACUUGAUUGUUGACUUUGCUGACUCAAACCCCCUGGACCUAUCUAUCAUACACAGGGGCUGGCUACUGUUGUGUAUAAAAGUUUUUUUAGUUUAUUUUCGAAUGAAAGCAAAUCUAGAAAAUCUUUAAAACUUUGGGAAUUCAUAGAAAAAUAACCAUAACUCCGAUGAAAAUACUAUGUACAUGUUGCUCAGUACGAUGAGACGGAUCCGAAUACGUGGUCUGUUCGUCCGCCACACGUCCCUAGCUUAGCGAACAUCGAACCUUUCCCCUCUGGUUCAUCUGUCCGAAAAUGCCUAACCCUAGAAAAACUUUCCCCGAUGUUAUCCUCCUUCGCUGGUAUCGUGUAGCACCACGGUAGGACACCCCUAGCCCUACAUGUUACCCUAUCAUGCAUUUGUGUUCCAUCUGUUUGCGUUAUAUUUACUGUUUCUUCCCCCUCUUCUCUCUGAUAGACCCCGAGACCGAUGCGGAUGCCACUAUGAUCGACUAUGUCACCGACGACUCUUCUUCCUUUUCAGCAGAGCUUCUAG